Octopus sinensis (East Asian common octopus) is the source of this 157-nucleotide long non-coding RNA. RefSeq lists it as uncharacterized. The transcript has 3 exons. The record is from RefSeq and is a predicted model, not a curated record. NCBI's taxonomy places the organism in Eukaryota, Metazoa, Mollusca, Cephalopoda, Octopoda, Octopodidae.
UGGGCUGUGUCUACAGAGAACAUGUGAAGGCUUGGAAGAAAUGAAGCCAGCAUGCUCUGCUGGAUGGGUAAUGUCAGUGUGCUUAUGCAACAGAGUGUAAGUGAUUUGAGAAAAGAACUUGGUACACGAGGCAUUAGAUGUAGUGUGCAAAAGAGAG